Chelonia mydas (Green sea turtle) is the source of this 4956-nucleotide long non-coding RNA. RefSeq lists it as uncharacterized. NCBI's taxonomy places the organism in Eukaryota, Metazoa, Chordata, Testudines, Cheloniidae. The transcript has 2 exons. The record is from RefSeq and is a predicted model, not a curated record.
AAGGGGGAGGGCGGGUCACUCGCCGUGGCUGCGCCUGCCCACCUCGGAGUCCGCUUCGCGCCGGACGUCGCCUCAUGAUCCGGCGAGCUUCCUGGACUGAUCUGUUCCUGGUCCUGUCCCAGCCUUCGGCUUCACCACAGUUUCCUUGAAGGGAAACUAACAGCUUCACUAACAGGAUACAUGGGGCAGGUAGGUUCUUCUAUCAAGACAGAUUAAAUGGGGUCUGAAUUUCAAUUACUGGAGUAGAGUUGUAUGGGACAGAUCACAAGUCUGAAAUGCAGAGGCCAGAUCAAGGCCAGGUACGGUUGUCUCUGUGAAGGUUGUACUUGCUGCCCUAAGGAACAUUAGAAUUGUCCACUUGUCCCUGCAAGAGCAGAUUUUUCUAUUUUAAUCCCAGUUUACCUAGAGAUCUGUUCCCUGUAUACUCAGACUUUUGUGUUUUUUGCUCUAUGGAAGAAGUAGAGACAAAAAGCUAUCUCUAGGUUUCCUUGUUCAUCCCUGGAAGAGAAUGAAAACCACAUGAAGCACUGCAUCAGCUAGGGAAACCUAGAGAGAGAGAGAGAGCUUUUUCGUCUCACUACUUUUUCCAUGGAGCAAAAACAAAGUCUAUACCAGUAUACAGUAAACAGAUCUCUGGGACAGGAGACUAAGCAGAAAUAAUUUUGCAUGUGCAGGUUGAACUAAUAAUAAAGGAAGCUUCCUGUUCCUGUGCAUAUGAUAAACACACAAGUGGACAAUUCUAGUGUUCCUUUGGGUGGCAAGUACUGAACAGUGGGGUUUAAGAACCAUCUUCCAUUAGUUUUAGGGAAGGGUGUCUAAGGAGAAGAUUUUUAAGUGGGAGUUAAGUACCUAACCGCGCUUUAUGCCUUUGUCAGAGUCCCCUACGCCAUUUUGAAAAAGUCAGCUAUGACUGUUGGAGACUGGAAAUGUGAGUCUACUAGCUGAUAGGCUGUAUUAAACUAUCUAGAUGAAAACCAUGGGAUAAUGUAGAACAAGUCACUGGAACCAAACUUAUCAAAAUGCUAAAAGAGGAGGUUUUAUAUUGCCAGCAUUGUAGUAUAUUUUAUAUACCUGUUUAGACCAAACUGCAAAAUGAACAGGACCUAAUUGGGAUAAAAAUAUUGACACCAGCCCACCCUCCUCAUUAUGCUAUGUGAGCAUCUGGAAGAUCUGUAACUAGAACAUAGUUACUCUUAUUCUUGAGUGCAAGGAAAAAAACCUAUGUCCAUGGUUAAACAGGUAGUAUAUUAGAGAAGCCACUUACUGCAACAUGUUACAAGUUUAACAGGCUAAAUCCUUUGGUCAUUAAUAGGGCCCUACCAAAUUCAUGGUCCAUUUUGGUCAAUUUCACAGUCAUAGGAUUUUAAAAAUCUGAAAUUUCAUGAUUUCAGAUAUUUAAAUCUGAAAUUUCAGUGUUGUAACUGUAGGAGUCCUGACCCAACUCUGAAGGCAGGAGCGCAGAAGUAAGGGUGGCAAUACCACGAUCCCCCUACAAUAAUCUUGCUCCCCCCCCCCACCCUCUUGGGUUAGGACCUGCAGUUUAAGAAAUGCUAGUCUCUCCUGUGAAAUCUGAAUAAUAGAGGGUAAAAGUACACAAAAGACCAGAUUUCACAGUCUGUGAUGCGUUUUUCACAGCCAUGAAUUUGGCAGGGCCCUAGUCAUUAAAUAAAUUGUCCCAUAGCCCAACUGCAGACUAGCUAAUCUUGUUACAGCCCAAGGGUGACAAGAAUUAGCCAGCUUCUCCACAAUUCUAACUAGUAGGCAGGAACUGAUUUUGCAGAAUUCAUCUUUAUUUACAUUUUCAAUAUUUAAAAAGUAUAAUUACAACACUUUUUUCCACUUUAAAGUUCAUAAGCUAAAAAUUCAUAAUUACUGUACAUAAAAAAUAAAACUUGAAAUAAAUUCACUUGAGAUUUGGAAGAGAGAUACAUAUCACAAUUAAAUAUUCCUUCCCUGGAAAUAUUCUGUUUGCAUUCCAAAAAGAGAAGCGUUCAGAGAACAUGAGCGGAAUACACCUUUCCAUAUUAACAUAAAUGAACCAAUUUUGUUGGAUGCACAACUAAAAAGUUCACAUUUAUGAAGUAACUGGAACAUAUUUAAGAACUCUACCACAGGAUUCAGAUUUUAGAUACUAAGUUUAACCAUUUAGAGAGUGUCCUGAACUUGUCUUUCCAAGUUGAGGCCAGCUCCACAGAUCAGAAAAACUUCCUAUUCCUCUAAGAACAAGCUGUUAAUACUUAUCUGUGCAAUAAGAGCAGGUCUGUUUCCUCUCCCCCUCCUUGUCCCAAAACCUUUGAAAAUCUUUUUGGACUAUUCCCAUUUCAACAUCCUCAAAGGAAUAAACACCUCAUUUGCGUACAUAUUAGGAUAGUGUAACCACAGCAUUUGGACCUUGGCUCAACUCUUACAGAAAUGCUAUAAUUUGAACAUGGUGGAGGGGGGCAGGGAGAGAGAGCUUUUGUGACUUAACACCAGUCCACGCCAGCAGCACUUAACACUACACAGGAAUUUUAUUACCCAAUGGCAGGAUGUCAAGAACCUGGGCAUGCAGGAACCUACUACAGAGCUAAUUAAACUUAAGUAUGAGCAUAAUUGUUACAGAGAAAGAAAAUGCAGAUUUCUUUAAAGGGACACUAUCAUGCCAUAAUUAAGAAGCCUUGUGUUACUUUUAAUUAAAAAAUUUAAAAUAUAGCUUUUCACCAUUUACACUUCACUUUUUGCAUUUCAUCUUGUAUAAUAAAAUUAGACUGAUGUUUCAUUUUAUGGUUCUCAUAUGUUAACACAAUCCUUUUGUACCUGAGUUUCCAACUUCUCUUCCAAAACUGAAGUUUAAAAAAAUCGAACAUUUAUAUUCAAGUUGAUAGGUUUUUAAAGGGUUUUGAAAAACCCUUUAAAAACCUAUCACUGACUUGCCGUGUUGCUUCACACUUCAGUUGAGCAGCUUUUCUCCUUUGUCACCAACUCUUACUUCUCUCUUCACUCCCUCUGCUUCACUAAGUAAUUCUCGAAACCAUUUUGGGAUAUAGUUUAUAUGGGAACUACAGAACAAGACCAUAAAAAUCUAAAUGUGGGGCCUAAACUAUUAGAAAAGAAAAACUCAACUUAUAAAAACAAAUGACCAGUUAGAGUUUUAGAAGACCUAAUGAGGACUUGAUCCAAGAGGUUUUUUCUACCUCUUUGUCUGGGACAUACAGUUGCAGACAUCUCCCACAGUUUCAGCAGUGUGUGUAUAUAUUUCAGCAGUAUAUUUCCAGUUACACAAAAUACCAGUUCAUAGACACUCCCACAAAAGAAAAAAGGUGAACUCCCCCAACACAACUAUAUCACAAGACCCACCCACCCUCUAUCUGUUAGACCCCAAUCGCCCUAAAAGCUCACAAGAAAAUGAGCUUUUGCAGCAUGUCUGGAUAUGAUGGUGCACAACUGAAACUGACUUUAUACCAAACAAUAGGAAGAGUCUGGUCACCAUUUCUCCAUCACUCUGCAUUCCUGGGCGUUCCACAGAACACUGCGGGAUCAUAUUAAGAAUUUUAGUUGUGGCUUCACCUAGCAAGAAACUUCUCAAUCAAGACUACCACCACCACACACCUCCACUUGCCAAACUCUACAAGAUUCUAGUGCUCUAAGUCCUUACAACCACUGUCCAGUCUACCAUAUCCGCAGCAACACUACUCAACCUUCUUGGUAAUCACAAGGUGCCCAGAGGGCUACAACCACCACCACCACUGGGUAUUCAAGUAAGGAACUCGACGGCAGGCCUAAAAAGUCCAUCUAACCUAUCCAAUUAGAUAGCAGAUAAAUCCCCACAGAUUCCCCAACACUCAAAAGCCACCAGAGCAAUUUCUCCCUCUCCUUAGUCUUUCACCUGAUAUGGACCACCAGCACACCACCAAUGACGAUAUAUACAGAGUAGCAGAGGGGAAUCUGCAGCUAAGGGCAGAUAAAACAGUCAUACUAAGUUACAUACUGAGUGGUACAGAGUAAUGCAGUAGAAAUAAGAACCACAAACAUUUUACAGCAAUUCACACUCUUCUCUACAGUUUUAAGUGCCAGAUUCCAUAAGCAUCAGAUUUUAUCCUGUGAGAGGUAAAAACACUAAACACACAGUAAAUUCAUCCAAAAUGUAUCAACAUGUUAAAAAACACAGAAUGGGGGAGGUUUUUAUGUGCCACCCAUACAUCUGCUCUUAAAUAUUUACAUAUAAAUAUUUGUAUGUAAAUAAGAUCACAAUUAAUCAUUUACCUUAAACUGCUCUUAGCAGCACCAAGUUAACCUAGGUUUUUUUUUUUUGUUUUUUUUUUAAACUCAGUUUAUAACAUGGCUAAGGGCAAUACAAACAGCUUUAUAGCAGAAAAUUCUACUGCUACAUUGAAGACAAUAGAGAGGUGGGUUAGGACAUUACUGAAGGAUGGGACCUUUUCUGACCAGCAACUCUCUUAGUGUUGACAUGAAGUUACUAAAGUCAUUUUCAUUUUCACAAGAGCCUUGCACUCCUAAUAUAUUGAACUGUCUCAGAAUAUAAUUCAUCAGUGUUUAGCUAUUUCAGGUAACUGCAUAAGACACCUGGAUGUUUCAUUGACUGAAAUAAGGACACCGCUAGUCAUCAUUUGGUCCAUAAGGGAAAGGUUUUCACAAGAUCUUCGAGCAGCACCAAGUUAUUUGAUGGACUCUCUCAAUGCAAAAACCCACGGAAGGGGUAGCUGAAAGAAGUGCCUGGUUUCUUUGCGCAUGCUUAUUUUUACUAAUACCCAGUACUUUUGGGUGGAUAGGAUUCCUCAGUUUUGUGUCAAUGUAAUGUACACUACAGAUAGACUGUGGAACUCUGACAAUUUAAAAAAGCUGCAGUAGCUGAUGUCUGAAUCUUAGACACUAAUUACAGAGCCCCAGCUUUCUUUUAUUCUAUGUAAAUAUCUGAAACCAACAUAUUACACACAAUAAAAUAUUGCAAAAAAUUAA